This 450-nucleotide long non-coding RNA is filed under the name Numida meleagris (helmeted guineafowl). RNAcentral describes it as "lncRNA (ENSNMEG00000019079.1)". Lineage: Eukaryota; Metazoa; Chordata; Aves; Galliformes; Numididae. The record is from RNAcentral.
CAGGGACAGCGAUCAGUUAGAGAUCAGUGAAUUGCUGGAUCUAGCAGUUCCUGUGAGGCCUCUGUGGGCUUCUAACAUCAUUCCUACAUCUACAGCCUUAGUAACAUUUGUCUUGAAGAUCAGAGAUGGGGCAGGAGAUCCUUUAAAAGCAGUUCACGGGUGCUGAUGAGAACCAGUAGUCUGUGUUCACAAGGAGCCAUGAAAGAAAUAGGAAUGGGCAGUUGUAUUCUCUACAGUGAUUUUUUGUUCAUCAGAAGGUGAUCUGGAAAUCAAGAUAUUGCACCUUAGCUGAAGGUAGCUAAAAUCUCAGGAAUAUGACACUCCUGAAUUACUCUUAAGCCAGUAAAGACCUAAUCUACUGGGGGAGUUAGCAGAGCCAGCAGUGAGCAGAGCAGGUGAACUGAUAAACGACUUCAGCAGAACAAGAAAUUGUAAGAAUGACACCCAUUU